GACGAACGCUGGCGGCGUGCCUAAUACAUGCAAGUCGAACGCAGUGGGGCCGGGUGAGUAACACGUGGGUAACCUCCCAUCAGAGGGGAUAAAACUUGGAAACAGGUGCUAAACCGAUACUGAUGGAUGAACCCGCGUUGCAUUAUCUAGUUGGUGGGGGAACGGCUCACCAAGGCCACGAUGCAUAGCCGCCCUGAGAGGGUGAUCGGCCACACUGGGACUGAGACACGGCCCAGACUCCUACGGGAGGCAGCAGUAGGGAAUCGUCGGCAAUGGACGAAAGUCUGACCGAGAAACGCCGCGUGAGUGAAGAAGGUUUGCGGAUCGUAAAACUCUGUUGUUAGAGAAGCGGUAUCUAACCAGAAAGCCACGGCUAACUACGUGCCAGCAGCCGCGGUAAUUC
This 403-nucleotide ribosomal RNA is filed under the name uncultured bacterium. RNAcentral describes it as "partial 16S ribosomal RNA". It matches the Rfam family "Bacterial small subunit ribosomal RNA", at positions 28 to 526 of the family's 1533-position model. The record is from RNAcentral.